Molecule: RNA transcript, 2544 nt
Organism: Dreissena polymorpha
Lineage: Eukaryota; Metazoa; Mollusca; Bivalvia; Myida; Dreissenidae
Exons: 8
Source: RefSeq, a predicted model, not a curated record
UAUACUUCGUCAUGGUCUCGGAUAUGAAUUUAGUGUUGGAAACAUGAUUAAGUCUAUUAAAUUGCUCUAUUUUGAGGCAAUGUUAACAGAUUUAUCACAAAUUGUGAAUGUUUUAUUCAACGGGGAUUUUUUCAUAAAAAAACUGCAAAAAGCGCUUAAAUAUUGCCUAUAUUCGUUCAUAUCCGCACUUUUCGUUCAUAUCCGCGGAUAUGAGUCAUAUACGUAUUUUAGACGACCGACAGCAUCAUCAAUCUAGUAAAUAACAACGCAACAACCCAUUCAUUUUAAUGCAUAGUGUAAUGUUCAAUUUCUGACUUCAAAAUGAGAUUGAAUAUCAAGUGGAAGGUGCUGAUUGGCAUUCUGAUACCAGUAGUGGUGUUGUACUUUCUUUUGCUAAACUCCCAUAGGCCAUCGUGACAUAGAAAUACUGUCAGACCCAGCGGGAAAAAAUUAACUGUCCAAAAAAUACUGUCGCCCACUAAGAAAAAUACCGGUACUGUUGCCCGCUACCUUAGAAAUCACGUGCGGAAUGUGACAAGACACACCACAGUUGUAAAGCUGCCAAUCAAGGAUGGCCUGCAUUGCAAUACAACACUAGGUCAGAGCCAUGAGAAAAACCUGGAGAAGAUUCGAACAUAUAUGUUCUCAAAAGCUGAACCAUACCUGAAAUCAUUAUUUGUGGAAGUUGAUGACAACAAGAUGCCAGACGUUCCAGUGUUUGUCACUGCAUUUUCUUCCAGCCAUUUCUCAGAAGGUCAGGACCUCAUAAAGAAUGUAAAUUCUGUUGCUAGGAAACAGUUUCCUUCUGCCAAGUUUUUCAUUUAUGACAUUGGUCUGUCAAGCUCACAUCAGAAACAGAUUCUUUCCGACUGUAAUUGUGAAAUAAAGCCAUUUGAUUUUACCAGUUUGCCGGCACAUGUCAGCAUAAUGAAAGGUUAUGCAUGGAAGCCUCUUGUCAUACAGUCUGCUGCUAAGCAGCACCCCUUUGUGGUAUGGAUGGAUGCAUCAGUACGUUUUACAACGAGGGACCUUAAAAAUGAGUUCAAAGAUGUUCAGCGAGUAGGGGUCAAGGCCUCUGAAGGUUAUGCUCCUAUAGCUGUAAGAACACAUCCAAACACAUUCAGAUUUUUACAGGAAGAAGCGUGUGCAUUUAAAGAGUUGAAUGAAUUUGAGGCUACAUUUAUUAUGAUAUAUGGAACCAAGUUUGUGUCGGAGUUUUUAUUGAGACCCUGGGUCUCUUGUGCUUUGGCUGAAGGGUGUUUGGUCCCUGACCAUAGUCCGUCAGAAUAUAUCAAUUGUGAUAAUCCAACUGUAUAUUUUGAUUGUCAUAGAUUUGAUCAGUCUGUUCUUAGUAUUUUGUUGCAUAGGAUGUAUAGUAAAGACAUCGAAGAGCAUAAAAUGAAGCAUGAAUUUUAUAAGUUUUGUAAAGGUGCUGAUGAAAUUCCAUUUGUUCCACAGUUUUUGAACAAAAUAUAUUCCCACUAUUAUGAAAAGUGUAUGUGAAGUAUUUGUUUUGGUUAUAUAUGGAAUUGUAAUAGAAGUUUUGUGUUUAUAUAUAUUCAAUUUGGUUGUUUCCGUUUACUCUGGUAGGAACAAUUAUUUAGUUGUGUAUUGUUUUAAUAGAUAUUACCCAGUAUAUAUUAUCGGAAAGAUAUUAUACAAAAUGAAAAUUAACAUGUUCUAAUGUUUGUUCUCAAUGACAGCAACAAAUUAAACGCAUACAUAGUAUGUUAUUUAUGCAGAUGAUUUUGAGUCUACACGUGGAAUGCUACAUUGCAUGUUUUAAAUACAGCUCAUGUGUCACAAUGUAGAAAGUCAUAUUGCAUGUUAUAAAUAUAGAUAAUGUUGUGUCACAAUGGGGACAUUCAUAUUGCAUGUUAUAAAUACAGAUUAUGUUGUGUCACAAUGCGGGCACAUUUAUAUUGCAUGUUAUAAAUACAGUUAAUGUUGUGUCACAAUGCGGGCACAUUUAUAUUGCAUGUUAUAAAUACAGAUAAUGUUGUGUCACAAUGUGGGCACAUUCAUAUUGCAUGUUAUAAAUACAGUUAAUGUUGUGUCACAAUGCGGGCACAUUCACAUUGCAUGUUAUAAAUACAGUUAAUGUUGUGUCACGAUGCGGGCACAUUCACAUUGCAUGUUAUAAAUACAGUUAAUGUUGUGUCACAAUGCGGGCACAUUCAUAUUGCAUGUUAUAAAUACAGAUAAUGUUGUGUCACAAUGCGGGCACAUUCACAUUGCAUGUUAUAAAUACAGUUAAUGUUGUGUCACAAUGCGGGCACAUUCAUAUUGCAUGUUAUAAAUACAGUUAAUGUUGUGUCACAAUGGGGACAUUCAUAUUGCAUGUUAUAAAUACAGUUAAUGUUGUGUCACAAUGCGGGCACAUUCACAUUGCAUGUUAUAAAUACAGUUAAUGUUGUGUCACAAUGCGGGCACAUUCAUAUUGCAUGUUAUAAAUACAGAUAAUGUUGUGUCACAAUGUGGGCACAUUCAUAUUGCAUGUUAUAAAUACAGUUAAUGUUGUGUCACAAUGCGGGCACAUUCACA